GACGAACCGUCCGAACGUUAUUCGGAAUCACUGGGCUUAAAGAGUGCGUAGGCGGCUUAUCAGGCGGGGUGUGAAAUCCCUCGGCCCAACCGAGGAAUUGCGCUCCGAACCGAUAGGCUUGAGGAGGAUAGGGGUAAGCGGAACAGAUGGUGGAGCGGUGAAAUGCGUUGAUAUCAUCUGGAACACCUGUGGCGAAAGCGGCUUACUGGGUCCUUUCUGACGCUGAGGCACGAAAGCCAGGGUAGCGAACGGG
This 253-nucleotide ribosomal RNA is filed under the name Lacipirellulaceae bacterium. RNAcentral's name for it is "partial 16S ribosomal RNA". It matches the Rfam family "Bacterial small subunit ribosomal RNA", at positions 524 to 776 of the family's 1533-position model. Lineage: Bacteria; Pseudomonadati; Planctomycetota; Planctomycetia; Pirellulales; Lacipirellulaceae. The record is from RNAcentral.